GUGAAUCAUCGAGUCUUUGAACGCAUAUUGCGCCUCCUGGCAUUCCGGGAGGCAUGCCUGUCCGAGCGUCAUUGAACAAAUGUCGCGCAACAUUUUUGUUUUGUGUUUUCGCAUGGCAGGAUUUGUUGGCGUUAUUGUUGAUGGAUGAGUGCACACGGCCCGACGGCUGAGCACAUACCUUUGAAAUCACUCGGCGGAGUUCUUGCAAACUCAACGGUGUAAUAGUAUUUUCGAUUCACCUUAUAUGGGUUUGCUUUGAUAUCUUGCCAUGUUAACUCCCAGUUUUAAUUCAAUGUUUGUACCUCGGUAUUCAGGUAGGGAUACCCGCUGAACUUUAAGCAUAUCAAUAAGCGGAGG
This 357-nucleotide ribosomal RNA is filed under the name uncultured fungus. RNAcentral describes it as "eukaryotic LSU rRNA". The stretch from base 1 to 71 matches the Rfam family "5.8S ribosomal RNA", at positions 84 to 154 of the family's 154-position model. The record is from RNAcentral. Lineage: Eukaryota; Fungi.